AUGCUGGAGGUAUCAGAAGUGCGAAUGCUGACAUAAGUAACGAUAAAGCGGGUGAAAAGCCCGCUCGCCGGAAGACCAAGGGUUCCUGUCCAACGUUAAUCGGGGCAGGGUGAGUCGACCCCUAAGGCGAGGCCGAAAGGCGUAGUCGAUGGGAAACAGGUUAAUAUUCCUGUACUUGGUGUUACUGCGAAGGGGGGACGGAGAAGGCUAUGUUGGCCGGGCGACGGUUGUCCCGGUUUAAGCGUGUAGGCUGGUUUUCCAGGCAAAUCCGGAAAAUCAAGGCUGAGGCGUGAUGACGAGGCACUACGGUGCUGAAGCAACAAAUGCCCUGCUUCCAGGAAAAGCCUCUAAGCAUCAGGUAACAUCAAAUCGUACCCCAAACCGACACAGGUGGUCAGGUAGAGAAUACCAAGGCGCUUGAGAGAACUCGGGUGAAGGAACUAGGCAAAAUGGUGCCGUAACUUCGGGAGAAGGCACGCUGAUAUGUAGGUGAAGCGACUUGCUCGUGGAGCUGAAAUCAGUCGAAGAUACCAGCUGGCUGCAACUGUUUAUUAAAAACACAGCACUGUGCAAACACGAAAGUGGACGUAUACGGUGUGACGCCUGCCCGGUGCCGGAAGGUUAAUUGAUGGGGUCAGCGCAAGCGAAGCUCUUGAUCGAAGCCCCGGUAAACGGCGGCCGUAACUAUAACGGUCCUAAGGUAGCGAAAUUCCUUGUCGGGUAAGUUCCGACCUGCACGAAUGGCGUAAUGAUGGCCAGGCUGUCUCCACCCGAGACUCAGUGAAAUUGAACUCGCUGUGAAGAUGCAGUGUACCCGCGGCAAGACGGAAAGACCCCGUGAACCUUUACUAUAGCUUGACACUGAACAUUGAGCCUUGAUGUGUAGGAUAGGUGGGAGGCUUGGAAGUGUGGACGCCAGUCUGCAUGGAGCCGACCUUGAAAUACCACCCUUUAAUGUUUGAUGUUCUAACGUUGACCCGUAAUCCGGGUUGCGGACAGUGUCUGGUGGGUAGUUUGACUGGGGCGGUCUCCUCCUAAAGAGUAACGGAGGAGCACGAAGGUUGGCUAAUCCUGGUCGGACAUCAGGAGGUUAGUGCAAUGGCAUAAGCCAGCUUGACUGCGAGCGUGACGGCGCGAGCAGGUGCGAAAGCAGGUCAUAGUGAUCCGGUGGUUCUGAAUGGAAGGGCCAUCGCUCAACGGAUAAAAGGUACUCCGGGGAUAACAGGCUGAUACCGCCCAAGAGUUCAUAUCGACGGCGGUGUUUGGCACCUCGAUGUCGGCUCAUCACAUCCUGGGGCUGAAGUAGGUCCCAAGGGUAUGGCUGUUCGCCAUUUAAAGUGGUACGCGAGCUGGGUUUAGAACGUCGUGAGACAGUUCGGUCCCUAUCUGCCGUGGGCGCUGGAGAACUGAGGGGGGCUGCUCCUAGUACGAGAGGACCGGAGUGGACGCAUCACUGGUGUUCGGGUUGUCAUGCCAAUGGCACUGCCCGGUAGCUAAAUGCGGAAGAGAUAAGUGCUGAAAGCAUCUAAGCACGAAACUUGCCCCGAGAUGAGUUCUCCCUGACUCCUUGAGAGUCCUGAAGGAACGUUGAAGACGACGACGUUGAUAGGCCGGGUGUGUAAGCGCAGCGAUGCGUUGAGCUAACCGGUACUAAUGAACCGUGAGGCUUAACCUUACAACGCCGAAGCUGUU
RNAcentral lists this ribosomal RNA (1692 nucleotides) under Escherichia coli. Its description in RNAcentral is "partial 23S ribosomal RNA". It matches the Rfam family "Bacterial large subunit ribosomal RNA", at positions 1270 to 2925 of the family's 2925-position model. Lineage: Bacteria; Pseudomonadati; Pseudomonadota; Gammaproteobacteria; Enterobacterales; Enterobacteriaceae. The record is from RNAcentral.